CCUACGGGAGGCAGCAGUGAGGAAUAUUGGUCAAUGGACGAGAGUCUGAACCAGCCAAGUAGCGUGAAGGAUGACUGCCCUAUGGGUUGUAAACUUCUUUUAUAUGGGAAUAAAAUGUUCCACGGGUGGGAUUUUGUAUGUACCAUAUGAAUAAGGAUCGGCUAACUCAGUGCCAGCAGCCGCGGUAAUACGGAGGAUCCGUGGUGUAGCCGGAUUUAUUGGGUUUAAGGGGAGCGUAGGGGGAUUGUGAAGUCAGUUGUGAAAGUUUGCGGCUCAACCGUAAAAUUGCAGUUGAAACUGGCAGACUAGAGUACAGUAGAGGUGAGCGGAAUUCGUGGUGUAGCGGUGAAAUGCAUAGAUAUCACGAAGAACCCCGAUUGCGAAGGCAGCAUACCGGUGCACAACUGACGUUGAGGCACGAAAGCGUGGGUAGCCAACAGGAUUAGAUACCCUUGUAGUC
RNAcentral lists this ribosomal RNA (460 nucleotides) under uncultured bacterium. RNAcentral describes it as "partial 16S ribosomal RNA". It matches the Rfam family "Bacterial small subunit ribosomal RNA", at positions 338 to 795 of the family's 1533-position model. The record is from RNAcentral.